CUCAGACCGGCGCUCGCUCGCCGGCGCCAUCCCUAUAGAGAAGAACGGAGGUACGGCCUGUGGUCAUGGCGCUGUUCCCAGCCUUUGCGGGGCUUAGUGAGGCUCCCGAUGGCGGGAGCUCCAGGAAAGAGUUAGACUGGCUGAGCAACCCAAGCUUUUGUGUUGGAUCCAUAACGUCCCUGAGCCAACAAACUGAAGCAGCUCCAGCCCAUGUUUCUGAAGGGUUACCGCUGACAAGUGGCAAGUACAUGACACAGUUAGUGCCUGUAAUUAGGCCAAGAGGGAAAUGGCAUCAUUGUGAUUCUCGAGUAACUUUACUAGCCUCAUUAGUAACCUUUAGAACAUCAUAAUUCAGGAGUCAUCUGAAAUCAGAGUCUUCAGAUGAAAGUGACACUAACAAAAAGCUCAAACAAACAAGUAGAAAAAAGAAGAAAGAGAAAAAGAAAAAAAGGAAGCAUCAGCAUCAUAAGAAAACAAAGAGGAAGCAUGGGCCGUCGAGUAGCAGCAGGUCUGAGACAGACACCGAUUCUGAAAAGGACAAACCUUCCAGAGGCGUUGGAGGCAGUAAAAAGGAAUCUGA
RNAcentral lists this long non-coding RNA (580 nucleotides) under Homo sapiens (human). RNAcentral's name for it is "non-protein coding lnc-TTC7B-9:1". Lineage: Eukaryota; Metazoa; Chordata; Mammalia; Primates; Hominidae. The record is from RNAcentral.